Molecule: ribosomal RNA, 123 nt
Filed under: Ixodes scapularis (black-legged tick)
Lineage: Eukaryota; Metazoa; Arthropoda; Arachnida; Ixodida; Ixodidae
Description: eukaryotic large subunit ribosomal RNA
Rfam family: Eukaryotic large subunit ribosomal RNA
Source: RNAcentral
GACAGGGGUGGUACAUCUGUCAAAUGGUAACGCAGGUGCCCUAAGGUGAGCUCAGCGAGGACAGCAACCUCGCGUAGAGCAAAAGAACACGAGUUUUUGUGACCACGUGCACGCGCACAAUGG